GUUGAUGUAUCUCUUUAGUUUGACAGGUGGCACCCCCUAAAAUUCAACCAGAGGCUGUGGGAGCAGCUUCUAUUUGCUGCCAUCCCUCGGAGACCAAAUGAUUUGUUGCCUCUAAACCAGGAGGUUUAGAGCUGCUUCUAAACCUUCGUAUAUGGGAGCGCUCCUCGGUCCUUCUGGGACUGUUCCCUUUUGCAGAGAGCCUGAGGCACUGCAAAGAGACAAGCUUCAGAGCCGAAAGCUGAAGACAUGCUUCUUGUCACUGCAAAGCUGGUGACAGCUGCUCAGACAGGGAGCUUCCUGUGAUACAUCCACAUAUGUGCGAGGGACUUCAUGGUCGAGUAGCAAUGCUCCCUACCUGAGUCAUUUCCAGGAUCUGAUGUCUGCACGGAACCCUCCCGGCAUGCAGUACAGCACUGGCCAAGGGCAGAGCGUGCAAGCUGCUCCUUUCCCUGCUGCACCGACUUCCAGUUUCUGUUUACACCAGCCCAAUGUCAAACAUCAUAGCAGCAGCUCUGGCGGAAGUUUGGAUGAAGUUGGCAAGGGGGUCCCAAAGCUUCCAGAGAGCUGGAAAGAUGGAUGGCAGGAAAGAACUGGCAAUCAGAUAAAAGCAGAAACAUGGCACAGGAGAGGGAAGGAGAGAUGAGAUGUGCAAAAAGGGUCUUGGCAGAGCCACAGGAGAAGACCCAGCAUGGUUCAGGAGAGGACAUACGCUGCUCACUGGGAAAGGCUUGUGGGUGAGUAUGGAGUCUCUGACCCUGCCAGCCUCCAGUAGUGGCAGACACCUGCUGCUGAUAGGUUUGUUAGCUCAGCCACUCUGCACGCUCAAUCCCUGCCACCAGAGCCUUCCAUAAGGUGGGAGUUUCCUCCCUUUACUGUGAAAGUGAUGGAAUCUCCUGGCUGAGAUCUGCAAGAACAGUGCCUCUGAAUAGUAUCUAUUGCUCUGUGUACAAAAAGAUGACUAAAAGAUCCACAGGAACUUCUUCUCUCUCCUCCCUCCCCACUUUCCUGGUUAAACCCCUAUUCCUUUUGGGAUAUUGGACUUUGAUUCAGGAAAGCAGCCCCAGGUCCCAAGCAGUAUUUGUCCUGGGCACAAGGGCAUCAGAAGCAGAGUCAUGACUGUCAGCAGAACCGGGAAGCGCAGGCCUGCGUGGUCCCUAGGGGGAAAUUAUUUGCUGAUUGCAUCUGUUUCCCAGAAGCAUCACUCCAAUUUAUCCUGGGAUUCACGUUUUUUUCCAGCAAAUAAGCACCUUGGGAGCUUCAUUUCCAUCUCAGAUGUUAAAUUUAGAAGUGGUGCUUCCCCUUCUCCCACCCUCUCCCUGCCCCCUCCCCAAUGGCUCCCGUAUCUCCCCUCCAGCCCCCACCCUCACCUCCAGCUCUCCCUCUUUGUCGCAUUACAUAGUAAUCUGAGAUGCAUUGGCCGAGCUCCAGGGAACAGAAUGUACUUGGCAGGGAGACGGGUCUUGAUGUCUGCAAAAUGUCGGGAAAUGCAGCCAAGAGCUGCUAACUGGGUCAUUAACCUCUAGAAGAAGAGCAAGUUGUGGAGCUGUGCUCUGUCUCCCUUCAUCUCGCCAAUAAAAAUGUCCCAGCAACGAGCGAGGGAAGAAGAGGUUUACAGCUUUAAGUCCUAAGCAGUCAACGCAGCCACCCUCCCUGACCCCCCUUCUCCCUACCCUCUCCCCCAGCGCAGCAUUAAAGCUUAUAAGUGGCCUUUUAAAAACACAGCGAUACCCGCGGAGCUGUCCCUCGGUGCUUGUAAAGAGGCUACUGGAGCAAACCAGUUGCUUCCAGAGGCGUGCUGCUCCUGCACUCGUGGUCAGAGGGGCUCUGAGGAAGGGCCUUUCGGUUGGGUUGCAGCCCUUGUGUGUGGCGGGACAGGGUGCUGCUAUCACUCAUAGACCUGAGCGUCCCAACCUCUUCGCUGUCCCCGUGAGCCGUGUGUCACAUUUCUGGCCACCCCAUCACCAUGAGUUGCCUUUCUACAUUGAGGUGCUCUAGUUGGAAAGAGGUGGCUGGUUUCUCUGUGUGCAGUGAGGUGGGCUGAGGAGGGCGACAAGCACAAACGGCUUAGCCCACAUCACCUGGUGCAACUUGAAAGAAAGCAAAGUUGUUUGCUGACUGCACUGAGGUCUCUGGAAUCUGGAGGGGGGUGGAAGGCAGGCUGUGGGUCCCCCAGAACUGGGACCCACCGUUGUCUGCCCAGAAGAGGUAGCCAAAGAGUGGGGGAGGGAGCUGCAUCUCCCAAAACCUUCCACAACCCAUACCAGCUGUUGGUGGAGCAGACUGCAGGACGAAAGUCAGUGUGGUGCUGGAUGGGAGAGGGGAAGAAAGCGGUUGCAUGGCUGGCCUUCUUCCUCAGAGAUGUGUUGUUUCCAUCCCUCUCCUCUUCCAGAGCAGGCCGUGCCUCAGGAGAUGUUGGCUGGGCUGUCCACAGAACCCCACCACUUACUUCUAUGCCUGAUGCCAUUACAUUGGACUUCCGUGGGUUUUUCCACCCAAGUACACCUUCCCUUUGCCCCUAAUUCAUCCCCCAUUAUAAAAGCAUGUGUAAAAUAUUCUGUCUAGGCAGAAACAGGGGAAAACACUGCCUUCAAAGCUGUAUCUCUCCAGCUGAGCCAGGUGAGACAAGGUGGAAAUGAAGCACAGCCUAGGAGUGCAUAGGGUCCUGCAUAGGGACAGCACGCUGACCUGGAGAUGGCAUUCGGUGCCAUUCCCUGCUCUGUCAGUGCCAAUGCACGGGACAACGAGCAGGACACAGGCAGCGCUUUGUGGCGACAACACCGCAGCAUGAAGGCACCUGGAGGGCGUCCAGUUGUCAGCAGCCUGGAGAAAGACUGGGACAACCUCGGUGGACGCCGAGG
Molecule: long non-coding RNA, 2858 nt
Organism: Tympanuchus pallidicinctus (lesser prairie-chicken)
Lineage: Eukaryota; Metazoa; Chordata; Aves; Galliformes; Phasianidae
Exons: 5
Source: RefSeq, a predicted model, not a curated record